CGCUGGAGAGUAGAGACUGCAAAGGAUUCUGUGGCUAGCUACACAAGAGAGUUCUUAAUGUGCGACGGGUGUACGUUUAAUGGUCACGUGCUGUGAGAAGGACUGAAGAGCGGGUUGGCGUCACUACUGUUGUCUAUACUGUUUGAAUUUAACGUGUACAUAUGAUAGUUACUGCUCUCUCAGACCCUGAAAGACAGUUUUAGGCUGAGCCAGUGGAAUAGUUAAAUUUUGCCGUUUCACUCAAAACUACAGAAUUCAAACUGUGCUCCUCCGAGUACAGUCGGAGAAUAAAAAAGCCCACAAAAGAGUAUUUCCUGUGUCCUGUCUCAUUCCCCAUGACCGGGCCACAUAUAAGUUUAGAUUUUUUUAUGCUUCAUUUCCUGAAUGUUACCAAACAGAUGGAAA
Long non-coding RNA from Oreochromis aureus, 405 nucleotides. Lineage: Eukaryota; Metazoa; Chordata; Actinopteri; Cichliformes; Cichlidae. The record is from Ensembl.